RNAcentral lists this long non-coding RNA (311 nucleotides) under Musa acuminata (dwarf banana). RNAcentral's name for it is "long non-coding RNA (MACU_LNC000469)". The record is from RNAcentral. Lineage: Eukaryota; Viridiplantae; Streptophyta; Magnoliopsida; Zingiberales; Musaceae.
CCAUAGUCAAAAACUUUUUCUAAAAAAUCAUCAAAAAGAAAUUCUCAAAUAUGAACCAGAAGGCUGAUAAGGACACUAAUCAAAUAAAAGAAAGCGAAAGCAACCCGUUUGGAACUUGCGAGAAAAAAAAUGCCACGAUCAAACAUCCAGAUAGCCGCGGAACCACUGGGAAAACAAUUCUUGAUACAUUAUUUUGAAGCAGAGUCAUGUCCAUGAGCAUAACUUAAACACAACUUAUAGUUUUUCUGUUUUAUCAUCCAAAAUAAAGCUGAGACACAUCCAUAAAAAUCUCAACUUGGUUUUGUUCCGAG